This 405-nucleotide ribosomal RNA is filed under the name uncultured bacterium. Its description in RNAcentral is "partial 16S ribosomal RNA". It matches the Rfam family "Bacterial small subunit ribosomal RNA", at positions 30 to 526 of the family's 1533-position model. The record is from RNAcentral.
AUUGAACGCUGGCGGCAGGCUUAACACAUGCAAGUCGAACGAGUGGCGGACGGGUGAGUAAUGCCUGGGAAUUUGGCUUAUGGAGGGGGAUAACGACGGGAAACUGUCGCUAAUACCGCGUACCAUAGGAUGAGCCCAAGUGGGAUUAGGUAGUUGGUGGGGUAAUGGCCUACCAAGCCGAGAAUCUCUAACUGGUCUGAGAGGAUGACCGUCAACACCGGGACUGAGAAACGGCCCGAACUCCUACGGGAGGGAGCAGGGGGGAAUAUUGAGCAAUGGGGGAAAUCUGACGGAGCCGUGGCGCGUGAAUGAAGAAGGCCUUCGGGUUGUAAAGUUCUUUCGGUGACAAGACGUUAAUCACAGAAGAAGCACCGGCUAACUCCGUGCCAGCCGCCGCGGUAAUAC